RNAcentral lists this long non-coding RNA (1209 nucleotides) under Dermacentor andersoni. Its description in RNAcentral is "uncharacterized LOC126532433". Lineage: Eukaryota; Metazoa; Arthropoda; Arachnida; Ixodida; Ixodidae. The record is from RNAcentral.
GUUAAUUAUUUCACCUUGCCUUCAUUAUUUUUGGCGAUGUUACCACUGUUCUUGCUAUUUGCUGUUUUCGCCCGAGCUAUUAUCCCUCGCAAACGUGCAAACGCGUUCGACGCAAACCUGACGCGUCAAAAUAAUUCUGCACCUUUUAUUUUCCAUCGCUCCACAUAUAGGAACCGGGUCACGAACUUCUCAGCUAGCGUGCAAGAGUGUUCGAAUAGUGAAAAUAUUGAACCGAAUCAAAUAUAGAUAUUCGAGAGAAAACGACCUUGCAAUACCAAAUCAAAUGUUCAAUAUUCCUAAUUUCUACAUAAAGUGAAAGGAAAAGUUCGGUGGAGUUUGUUUGGUCACGAAAGGACUUGUUUAUAUUUUUUGAUGCAUGCAAUGCAGGUAAGAAUCGCAUGUCAUGUCAACUUAGAAGCUUUGUAAUGAGAAACAAAGUACGAUCAUAUCUGGCGCACAAUGACAAUGACAGUAAUAAAAAAAAAAGCAGCACCAUCCCAGAUGCCUGUAGUAGAGGGCAGUGGUCGUUGAAGAAGUGUUGAAGAAACGCAAACAUGGUGAGAUUGGCCAAAUAAUAAAUUGCUUUGUCUAAAUAAAGACAGCGAGAAAGAGAGAAAAUUAUAAAUGAAAGGCAGGCAGGUUAACCGGGACUGAGCCCGGUUGGAUACCCUACAUUGGGGGAAGAAAAAAGCGAAUUUGUAAGCUGCCUAAGGCGAGACAUGCUUAAACAGCGGCCGGUAAUUACUGUGCAUAUGGGACCUAGUCGGUGUGUUGGUUCAGGAACUCGAUUGUCCGUUCAACAACCGCGGUUCUCCAGCAACAAAAUCAGUGAGGCUCUUGUUGCCCCUUAAUAUUCGAAGGAUGCGGAUAUUCUAACUCUUAGAAUAGUGAAUUAUCGAAUCAAAUGCAAAACGAAUAGCAAAUAUUAUUAAAUUCGCAUUCAAAAUUCGGAAUAUUUGCUCCUCCUAGCAUGGUUUUCGCGAUAUUCCACGUCACACGGGAAUGCUCAUGACUUUCUUUUCUUUCUUCUUUUUCGUAGUGCGACGAGUUCGAGUGAAUGCUGUGGCGUGAUUGUGCCCGGUGAAGCGCUCCGUCCAGGCGGAUGUAUUUUGGGUACUUCUGACCAACUCCACCAGUUGGAUAACGCAACCAAAAUAUCGUACAAAAUAAAUCGGAGUUGGCUUAAGGUGGCAAACUUCGCCUCAGCUA